AGGAAGUGAAUCUUCACAGGGAAGGAAGCAACAAAACUCUGCCUUUGGCUUUUGCUGGCUGAGCAGGGAAAGGCCUAUAGACACAGGGCAUUGGGCAGGAGCUAGAACAGCCCUCCCUAGAGCACUACAUAAAGCAGCCAAUAUUUUGCAAAGCAUAGGGAAGAGUGAAAGUCAUCCGGGGCAUUUGCAGACACAGCACUAAGAACUUGGUGACAACAGCCCUGAAGCAAAACAGCAGCAUGUACUGGGCAGGGCUUGGGAGAUAAGACAGGACAUCUGAAGCUAAACAUGGUGAGUCCAUUUCCUGGGCUUUCUGGAGCUAUGCAGGGUGAUAGGCUCAUCCUGGCUUGCCCAGGACUCUCGUCGUUUUAGUACUAAAAGUCCUGUGUCCUGGAAACUCCUCAGUCCCAGGCCAGGUGGUUCAGAGUCAGCAGUCCUGGAUGAGUCAGUGCUCUCCUACAAGCAGAGUUAGUUUCUUAACCUCCCUGAGUCACAAUUUUCUCAUUUGUAAAUAAAAUAAGGUAAUAUACUGCCUACUCUAAGUUUUUGUGAAAGUCAAAAGAAAUAAGUCUUGAAAAGGUAAUAGAACCAAAUUUGGCACAUAGUAAUUAUUCAAUGUUAACAGGAAGGAGGGAAGGGAAGGAGGAAGAAAAUGUUAAAAGAUCGUUUUUUAAGGAUCCCCUCUGAAAGCUACAAUCAAAGUGUCAUCCACAAAAUCUUAUCUCAAGCCUUGACUAGAGAAGGACCCACUUCCAAGACCACAGAGUUGAAUGAAUUCAGUCCUUGCAGCCCGUUGAACUGAGGGCCUCCCCAACAUGCUCACCUGCUUCAUCAAAGCCUGCGAGAGAGAGAGUCCACUAGCAAGAGGACAUUGCAGUCUUAUCUAAUGCAAUCACUGAAGUGACAUCCUGUCACCUUGGUCACCUUUUCUAUUCUAUUCAUUAUAAAUGAGUCCCAAGUCCUGCCACACUCAAGUGGAGGGGAUUACACAGGGCUGGAGUACCAGCGGUGGGGAUAAUUUGGGGUCAUCUUAGAGUUCUUCCAUCACACGGGAAUUCUCAGCUCACCAAAUCUGGGAUUCCGCAUCUGGCCAUUCCUUAAGCUGAAGGCCUGGCAUAUUUUUGAGUGUCCAUUUGGAUCAGCUAAUAAACCCAGGGUUUGUCUACUGGCUGGAGGAGUAAGAACUAUAAGGCUAAUUGAAAUGAAUCUACUUAAAAUAGUGACCUGAUUUUUCUAAUAAUUACUGGAAGGUAAGGGUUGAUUGAGACUUUAAAAUAAAACCAAAAAUUAUUCUAAAUUUUUCAUAUUUUAUAUAAGAAAGUUUUGAUUUUUACUGCAACCAUUUUCUAACUCUUAAAAUAAAGAAAGGAUAAUUCAAGUGUUGAUAUUUUCCCAACAUAAAUAUACAGGAACAUAAUGUAGCUUACUUGUAUUUUAUCUUUGAUUUACACAAGAGAAUUUUUAUACAAAUAUUCCAGGCUCAUUAGUUUUCCCAAAGGCUUCUCAUAAUCCUUUGAUAUUUAAAUCAUUCCCUCUUUCAAGUCAUUUUUUAUCUGCCUUGUCGAUACUCUUUUUGUUAAUUUGCCCAACUCAUCUGGAUCUUCCUUUGUCACUGGCUCUGUAAAUUUGAGUAUUUCUCCAAUAAUGCUCCUGUCAACUUUAUGAAACCCUUUGUCUUUUGCAAGAUUUAAAAAUUCCCUUUAUAAUAAGCAUUCUACAGUAAGUGAAGACUCACUAGCAAAUAUAUGAGUGAUGGAUCAAGAGAGACAAAGUGUUAAAAAUUGACAGAUGCAACUUUUAAAAAUGAAAUUCUUGGUUACCAUCUAACAAAGUAAGUACAGGACCUGUAUGCUGAAAACUACAAAACACUAAUGAAGGAAUCAAAGAAAGUGUAAAUAAAUGGAGAGAUAUACCAUGUUCAUGAAUUGGAAGUCUCAGAAUUAUUAAAAUGUAAAUUCUAUCCAAAUUGAUCUAUAGAUUCAACCCAAUCACAAUCAAAAUCCUAACUGGCUGUAUAAAUUGACAAGCUGAUUCCAACAUUCACAUAAAAAUCCAAAGAAUGUAGAAGAGCCAAACAGCUUUGAGAAAAGGAGAAAAAAGUUAAAGGAUUCACAUUAUCUGAUUCCAAGGCUUCUUAUAAAGCUACAGUCAUUGAGUCAGUAUGGUACUGGCAAAAGGAGAGACACAUUCUAUGUAUCUAUCUGUCUAUAUAUCUAUGUGAAAUAUAAUAAAGAGUUCAGAAAUAGAUCCACAAAUAAGAUCAAUUGAAUUUUGGCAAAGAUGAAAAAAUAAUUCAAUGGAGAAAGGACAGAAUUUUCAAUAAAUGAUGCUGAAACAAUUAGACAUCCAUAUGCAGGAAAAAAAUGUUUGACCUAUAUGUUCAUUUUAUACAAAAAAUUAAUUCAAAAAGAAUCAUAGACCUAAAUGUAAAACAUAAAAACUUUUAAACUUUUAAAAUAAAAUAUAGGUAAAAUCUUCGUGACCUACAAUUAGGCAGAGUUCUUGGAGAUGACAUCAAGAAUUUAAUUCAUAAAAAGAAAAAAUUUAUAAGUUGGAUUUCAUUAAAACUAGAAACUUUUGCUCUAAAAAGAGCAAAAUUAAAAUUAUAAGAAUAAAAAGAAAAGCCAUGGACUGUCAUAUGCCUGACAAAGGAUAUACAGACUAUAGGAAGUACUCUCAAACUCAACAGUAAGAAAAUAAGCAACCCAAGUUAAAAAUGGGCAAAAUAUUUGAACAGACACUUCACUAAAGAAGAUUAUAUGGAUGUUAAAUAAGCAUAAAUAAAGAAGAUAUAUGGAUGGCAAAUAAGCAUAAGAUUCUCAGCAUCAUUACUCAUUAGGGAAAUGCACAUUGAAACCACAAUGACAUGCCACUACAUACCUACUAUAAUGGGGAAAAAACUGACAAUACCAACUGCAGAGCCACUGGAGCACUCAUACAUUGCUAAUGGGAAUGCAAAAUGGUAAAACCACUUUACAAAACAGUUUGGGAGUUUCUUAUAAAGUUAUAACACCAAAACCAGAAACAACAAAAUGUCCCUCAACUGGUGAGGGGUGCUAUGGUCUGAAUGUUUCUGUCCUUCCAAAAUUUGUAAGUUGAAACCUAAUCCCCAAUGCAUGGGUAUUUGGAAGUGGGGACUUUAGGGUGGGAUUAAAUUAUGAAGUCAGACCGCUCAUGAACGGGGUCAGUGCCUGAUAUGGUUAGAAUAUGUAACUCUUCCAAAUCUCAUGUUGAAAUAUAGUCUCCAGUGCUGGAAGUGGGGCCUGGUGUGAGGUGUUUGGUCAUGGAGGUGGAUCCCUCAUUAAUGGCUUGGCACAUCCCCUUGGUGAUAAGUGAGCUCUCACUCUGAGUUCAUGUGAGAUCUGGUUGUUUAAAAGUAUGUGGCAUUCCCCCACACACAAUUUUGCCAUGUGAUGUGCCUUCUCCUGCUUUAUCUUCCACCAUGAGUAAAAGCUUCCUGAGGUCUCCCCAGAAGUCGAGGAGAUGCCAGCACCAUGCUUCCUGUACAGUCUGCAGAAUUAUGAGCCAAUAAAACCUCU
This 3539-nucleotide long non-coding RNA is filed under the name Homo sapiens (human). Its description in RNAcentral is "non-protein coding LINC00920:7". Lineage: Eukaryota; Metazoa; Chordata; Mammalia; Primates; Hominidae. The record is from RNAcentral.